UACGUAGGGUGCAAGCGUUAAUCGGAAUUACUGGGCGUAAAGCGUGCGCAGGCGGUUUUGUAAGUCUGUCGUGAAAGCCCCGGGCUUAACCUGGGAAUUGCGAUGGAGACUGCAAGGCUUGAAUCUGGCAGAGGGGGGUAGAAUUCCACGUGUAGCAGUGAAAUGCGUAGAGAUGCGGCGGAACACCGAUGGCGAAGGCAGCCCCCUGGGCUGAGAUUGACGCUCAGGCACGAAAGCGUGGGGAGCAAACAGG
RNAcentral lists this ribosomal RNA (253 nucleotides) under uncultured bacterium. Its description in RNAcentral is "partial 16S ribosomal RNA". It matches the Rfam family "Bacterial small subunit ribosomal RNA", at positions 524 to 776 of the family's 1533-position model. The record is from RNAcentral.